CGGCGCGGUGGCUCACUCACGCCUGUAAUCCCAGCACUUUGGGACGCCGAGGCGGGCGGAUCGCGAGGUCAGGAGAUCUAGACCAUCCUGGCUAACAUGAACAUUUCCAUUGAAAAUGUCUACAUGGACCUCUGUUUAAAUGAGAAAGAUUUUUAUAUGACUGCAUAUGACAUGCAUCAAUUUUUUUAAAAUUACAAGGCCAAACUUUGAUUCUGUUGUUGAGGCAGACUUCACGCUGAGCACUGCAUUUGAUUCAUACCACUGAGACAAUCAUAGUUGAUUCCCUUCAUUUCCUCAUGAUCCAAGGACUCAAUACCACAACCUCUUCAUAAGACUCUCUCCCUACACUUGCUCAACCACUGUGCCCCAAAGCCAUCUACCAAUUCAAUGCAAACCCAUUCAAUAUCCUAAUGGAAUUUUUUACAGAAAUAGAAAAAGAAAUUCUAAAACGUAUAUGAAACCAGAAAAGAUCUCAAAUAGCCAAAGCAAUCUUGAGAAAGAUGAACAAAACUGGAGGUCCCACACUUCCGGAUUUCAAAACGAAUGACAUAGCUACAGUAAAUUAAAAUCAGAUGGUCCUGGCAAAAGACAGGCAUACAGAUUGAUGGAACAGAAUAAGGAGCGCGGUCAUAAACACAAUUUAUAAGGUCAACUGAUCUUUCACAAGGCUGUGUAAAAUACACGCUACGAAAGGAUAGACUUUUCAACAAAUGAUACUGGGAAAAGUGCAUAUUGUGGUGUGAAAGAAUGAAAUUAGAAUCUUUUCUUACACAAUAUACAAAAAUUAGCUCAAAAUGGAUUAAACACUUAAGUCUAACACCUGAAACUAUAAAGCUACAAGAAGAAAACAUAAAGAAAAAGGCUUCAUGAAGUUUGUCUUGGAAAAGAUUUCUUGGAUUAUCUGAAACACAUAGGCACCAAAAACUAAAGUAGAGAGGUGGGAUAACAUCAAACUGAAAUACUUCAUUACUGCAAAGGAAACAAUCAACAAAACAAAAGGGCAACCUACAGAAUGAGAAAAAGUAUUUUUAAAUUACAUAUCUGAUAAAAGGUUAAUAUCCAAAGUACAUUUAAAAAGUCUUUUCCAAUUUGAUAACAAAAACCAAAUUUCCAAGUUAAAAAUUUUCAAAGGACUCAAAUAGACAUUUCUCUAAAGAAAGCAUACAAAUGACCAAUAAGUAUAUUAAAAAGAUGAUUUAACAUCACUAGUCAUUGGGAAAAUAAAAAUCAAAAUUACAAUGAAGCAUCACCUCAUACCUGUUAGGAUAACUUUAUCAAAAACUAAAAAAAACAAGGCUUGCCUAGUAGGCAAAUUGAAACUUUUGUGCACUUUUGAUGAGAAUGUAAAAUGGUACAUGAUGAAAACAAUAUGGAAUUUUCUCUAAAAAUUGAAAUAGAACUACCAUAAAAUCUAGUAAUUUCACUUCUAGGUAUUUAUCCAAAAGAAUCGAAAUCAGGAUCUCAAAGAUAUUUGUAAUUCCAUGUUCAUUGCAGCAUUCACAAGAGAUAUGGUUUGGCUCUGUGUCCCCACCCAAAUCUCACAUAGAAUUGCAAUCCCCAAUGUGGAGAAGGACCUGACAGGAGUUGAUUAAAUCAUGGGGUGGUUUCCCCCUUGUGGUUCUUGUGAUAGUGAGUGAGUUCUCACAAGACCUGAUUGUUAGAAAGUAUGUAGCACUUCCCCCUUUUCUCUUUCUCUCUCUCCUGCUCCACCAUGUGAGGACAUGGUGUUUACUUCCCCUUAGCCUUCCACCACUGAUUGUAAGUUUUCUGAGGCUUCCCCAGCCAUGCUGCCUGUACAACCUACAGAGCUGUGAGUCAAUGAAGCCAAUUUUCUUUAUAAAUUAUCCAGUCUUGGUAGUUCUUUACAGUAACGUGAGAAUGGACUAAUACAACAAGAUUCAAGGUAAGGAAGUACACUUAGUGCCUGUCAGUGGAUGAAUGGAAAUAGAAAAUAUGCUAUAUACAACAAUGAAAUCUCAUUCAGUCUUAAAAUUAAAAAAAAGGAAAUCCCGUCAUAUGGGACAACAUGGAAGAAACUUGAAGACAUUAUACUAAGUGAAAUGAGCCAGUCACAGAAGGGCAAACACUGCAUGAUUUUACUUAGGCAAGUUAUCUAAAGUAAUCAAACACAUGGAAACAAAAAGUAGAAUGAUGAUUGCCAGUGGCUGGAGCAAAUGGGUAGCUGCUGUUCAGUGAGUAUAAAGUUUCAAUCAUGCAAGAUGCAGAAAUUCACUUGAUCUGUUGUACAGCACUGUGCUUCUAGUUAAAAAUACUGUAUUAUAUACCUAGAAAAGCAUUUGGAAGUAAAUAUCAUGUCAUGUGUUUAUUUUUACUACAAUAUAAAAUAGCUUUUAAAGAGAAUUUGUGUUAUUAUUGUUAUUACUAAGUUUAUACAUUACUUUAAUUAAAAAGUCACUUGAAUCAAGGUUAAUAAAGUGGUUUGUGGAUACAUAGUCUUCUCCUGUGGAUAAGGGAUAGCCUUGCCUUCUCCUGCUGAUCAUGGUCCCUGACAACCUCCUUCUAGGUCAGUAUUGGCUCACGCUAGUCUCCCCAGUGGGCCUCCCUAGGACAUUUCAGUAUCAUCACAUUUACUACAGAAAAGUCUUUUUUGAGUAAAGUCACUUCUCAGUCUGUAUCGCUAAACAGCCUAUUAAUGUUUGUGAACCUCAGUUUGUUUCAUCUGUAAUGAUAACAGCUCUCCUAUUCACCUCACGAAGAUACUAUGAAAAUAGAAAAUAAAAGAUCACAUGAAGAAAAGUUCUUUGAAAACAAUACACAAAGAUAUGGUGCUAUUAUUUUUAAGAAAAUGGCUAAAAUGUCUCUGAGUUUCAAAGGAAUUAUUCUAUCAGAAAAGAAAUAUACAUGGUGGAAAUUUAAAAUAGAGUUUUUGUGAUACGUAAAUUACUGUGGUAUUAAGCCACUCAAAUGAGGGCUACCAUGGAGCUUAUCUUUACAGUGCUGCAGUGUUCUGACAUGUUUCCUUGGCAUAAAUCAAUGUAUAGGCUACCAUAUAUUGAUGAAUCAGCUCUUUUGCAACUACUGAAAAAACAAUUCAUUGUCCACACAUUUCUCUAUCUCUGACACAAAUCAAAAUGUGUUACCUUCCAGGAACAGUUGAGUUUGUCAGCUUAUCAUCUUACUAACUUCCAAGAACAAAAUAUGAGUUUGUAAGUUGUGAUUCAUCAGAAACAGUAUUUCUAAGUUUUGUUAGUGAUUGCUCUUACAUUCGUGUAUUGACUUAAAGAAAAUUUAAGAAACAUAUAAGAUCUUAGAAAAUAAAUGUUGAAGACAUUUUAAGGAUUGAUAGGACACAGCAGUUUUUUUCCCCUAGACUCUCAGUGCAAUCAUAAUACACUCUUUUCAGGAUGUUUGCCAAGCUAUGACUUAUGAACUCUUUGUUUAGAAUUGAUCUUCUAUAAAGGAAGAGGUCAGCAGUUAGGUUUGAAAACAAUCACCUGGCCAUAGUUGACUGGGCUAAGAGUAUACUCUUGAGAAAUGAGAACACAAUAAGGUACUCAAUCCUAAACAUCUGGAUUUUGGAUUCAGAAACAGUUCCUAUAAGUAGCUUAAAGCAUAUGUGAUAUAAAAAUGAAGUACCUGUUGAUCAGCCUUGCUCCAUUAUGUAGAAAAGGUUGAUUGAGACAGAGAGAAUGAGAGAAAGAUAGAACUAGCUAUAGUUUCAAGAAAAAUAAGAAAAAAAAUAUAGACCCAAUAUAAAUGAAAAAAUAUCCCCCAAAAUAUAUCUAUAUCUUUAUCAAUUUUUUCAGUUAUUUCCAGUUUGUUUCUGAUAUCUGGCUAAUUUCUGCCCCUAGGUUACAUGCUAUUAGAAAACAUACAUUAAUUUUACACAAUUUGCUUUUUAUCUAAACUUACGUUCUAUUACAAGCAAUUGACAAAAAUUUCCUAUUAAUAUGCUGCAUGAAUCCAAUUCUUGUUAAGCAAUAAAGAAACAAUAUACUAUGCACCAGAGAUGCUGGGUGAGAUUUAUAAUGAUUUGGUCCCUUAAGUUCCUUUAUCCAAAGAAAUGUGAGUUGAUUUGACAUGUACCUCUUAUGAUCAGAAGCUUAAAGAGACAUCAGGCGAUUGGAAACUUACUAUUUCUUUGUUGUUAUCUAUAAAACCAAGAUAAACCAAGUAGGCGGAGCUCCUUCAACUUUGGUCCCAGAUAAGGAGAGCCAGAGAUUACUCAUGAAGAACAUAAAAUAAGAGUUAAAGCAAACAAGCAAUCACCAAACAAAUAAAACUUCUACUGAUGCAAGCCACUGAUAUUACGAAGUUAUUUUUAUUUCAACAUAAGAUAUGCAAAGCAUACUGAUAGAGAAGUAAAAUACUGAUAAUAGGUUACAGAAUGGGAUAAUGUUUGAAGAAUUAUAUAGGUCUCUAAAAUUGGGCACUACAUAACAAAUAUGAUUGUUUUGGAUGAAUCGGUGAAAGUACAGGGAAAAAUGAUUUGUUAGAUGGGUAUUUAGAAAAGACAUGAAUAUAGACAGCUAGUCUUGGUG
RNAcentral lists this long non-coding RNA (4502 nucleotides) under Homo sapiens (human). Its description in RNAcentral is "HSALNT0325477". The record is from RNAcentral. Lineage: Eukaryota; Metazoa; Chordata; Mammalia; Primates; Hominidae.